Molecule: long non-coding RNA, 994 nt
Organism: Gossypium raimondii (Peruvian cotton)
Lineage: Eukaryota; Viridiplantae; Streptophyta; Magnoliopsida; Malvales; Malvaceae
Exons: 2
Source: RefSeq, a predicted model, not a curated record
GCGGUGAGGAAGCUUUCGGUCAGAAGCGAUAGGGAGAUACACCCUUUGCCAUUUCGGUGAAAUUGGUAAAGGGCAAUCCUAGGGGCACAGAUAAUUUUGAGGGUUGUGCCUGCUGACUAGGUAGAGGCGGUGGCUAAACGGAUGGGGGGUUUCUUAUUUCAAUUUAGGUUUAGGAUAGUCGGCUUUGGGAUUGUAUAUGGACUAGACUUUUAUUUGUUUUUAGUUUUUGUUUUGUUUUGUCUGGGCCUGACAAAAUUGGGCCGCUACAUGCAUAAUAUCUUUACCUCUUCAAUCCAUCCAUUUUUGAGUUCCUCGGAUUUCUGGUGUCUCUUUCCCUUCUCCAAACUCAGCCUUCUCACACAAUAAACAUUUUUUUAAUAAGUUUUCCUUUAUUCUCUGGUUAUAAUGGCCUCAUUCUCUAAUGGUGUUUCUUCAACCCAAAAACAGGUGCAGCUCUUCCUCUUCCCCCAAGCAGCUAGCGCAUGCGCCGCUCCAUUGGCUUUUACUGGAACUAAAUCUUUUCAAAAUUCCUUGAUUUGGUUAAUAUUUCUUUUACGAUACCCCUAAUGAUUUAUAGAUCGUUUUCUUGUUUUUGCUUUUUUUUUAUAACAUUCCUUAAGUCCCAUUCGAUGAUGAAAUUGCCGCUCCAUUAGAGGCAUGCAAGCACUUCAACUGUUGUCGAAUCUUGAGCAUUAUUGAUCGGGCCACCAAUGUUUCUUGCAUUUGCUGGAAAACUUAUUUUGCAACGCUACAGUCAUGGAAUACAUGGUUAAUAGUCUCUUCGUCUUCUCCGUAAAAUGGGAAUAAGGCAUCAUAUCUCAGUUUUCAAAAUUUUAAAUGACUAAAUGUAGGCAAAUAAUUGUUUGUAAUUCUCUAUAUAUUGAUUCUAACUUUGUUGGGUAUUUUUAAGCUCCAAAAUUUUGUGAAGUAAUUUCCAGGUAGGUUUCGAUUUGUUGUAAAUUCAUUACCCAGCAAGUUAAGUUCCUCUAUGAUA